This is a transfer RNA of 76 nucleotides. It matches the Rfam family "tRNA". From Rfam's summary of the family: Transfer RNA (tRNA) molecules are approximately 80 nucleotides in length. Their secondary structure includes four short double-helical elements and three loops (D, anti-codon, and T loops).
UGAGUGUAUAGCUCAGUGGUAGAGCACCUGGCUUUUAAGUCUAGGUCGUCGUAGGUUCGAGCCCUACUACAUUCAA